UGAGGAAUUUUGGGCAAUGGGCGAAAGCCUGACCCAGCGACGCCGCGUGGGUGAUGAAGGCCUUCGGGUCGUAAAACCCUGUGAGAUGGGAAGAAGCCGUUGCGUGCUAAUACCACGUCGCGGUGACAGUACCAUCAGAGGAAGCCCCGGCUAACUACGUGCCAGCAGCCGCGGUAAAACGUAGGGGGCUAGCGUUGUUCGGAAUUACUGGGCGUAAAGCGCGUGUAGGCGGCUUGGCAAGUCGGAAGUGAAAGCCCCAGGCGCAACUUGGGAAUUGCUUUCGAAACUGCCUAGCUUGAGUGCGGGAGGGGAGAGCGGAAUUCCAGGUGUAGCGGUGAAAUGCGUAGAUAUCUGGAGGAACACCGGUGGCGAAGGCGGCUCUCUGGACCGUAACUGACGCUGAGACGCGAAAGCGUGGGUAGCAAACA
RNAcentral lists this ribosomal RNA (428 nucleotides) under uncultured prokaryote. RNAcentral's name for it is "bacterial SSU rRNA". It matches the Rfam family "Bacterial small subunit ribosomal RNA", at positions 355 to 774 of the family's 1533-position model. The record is from RNAcentral.